This 273-nucleotide ribosomal RNA is filed under the name uncultured bacterium. RNAcentral's name for it is "partial 16S ribosomal RNA". It matches the Rfam family "Bacterial small subunit ribosomal RNA", at positions 85 to 354 of the family's 1533-position model. The record is from RNAcentral.
CCGCCGGCGACCGGCGCACGGGUGAGUAACACGUAUGCAACCUGGCCGUGACAGAUGGAUAACCGGGAGAAAUCCCGCCUAAUACAGCAUGACGCCGGGAAGGGACAUCCCUUUCCGGCCAAAGGGGGCGGCUCCGGUCACGGAUGGGCAUGCGGCGCAUUAGGUAGUUGGUGGGGCAACGGCCCACCAAGCCGACGAUGCGUAGGGGUUCUGAGAGGAAGGUCCCCCACAUUGGAACUGAGACACGGUCCAAACUCCUACGGGAGGCAGCAG